GAUGAACGCUGGCGGCGUGCUUAACACAUGCAAGUCGAACGGGAAUUAUUUUAUUGAAACUUCGGUCGAUUUAAUUUAAUUCUAGUGGCGGACGGGUGAGUAACGCGUGGGUAACCUGCCUUAUACAGGGGGAUAACAGUCAGAAAUGGCUGCUAAUACCGCAUAAGCGCACAGAGCUGCAUGGCUCAGUGUGAAAAACUCCGGUGGUAUAAGAUGGACCCGCGUUGGAUUAGCUGGUUGGUGGGGUAACGGCCCACCAAGGCGACGAUCCAUAGCCGGCCUGAGAGGGUGAACGGCCACAUUGGGACUGAGACACGGCCCAGACUCCUACGGGAGGCAGCAGUGGGGAAUAUUGCACAAUGGGGGAAACCCUGAUGCAGCGACGCCGCGUGAAGGAAGAAGUAUCUCGGUAUGUAAACUUCUAUCAGCAGGGAAGAUAGUGACGGUACCUGACCAAGAAGCCCCGGCUAACUACGUG
Molecule: ribosomal RNA, 478 nt
Filed under: uncultured bacterium
Lineage: Bacteria
Description: partial 16S ribosomal RNA
Rfam family: Bacterial small subunit ribosomal RNA
Source: RNAcentral